Molecule: ribosomal RNA, 539 nt
Filed under: uncultured bacterium
Lineage: Bacteria
Description: bacterial SSU rRNA
Rfam family: Bacterial small subunit ribosomal RNA
Source: RNAcentral
GAGGAAUAUUGGUCAAUGGACGGAAGUCUGAACCAGCCAAGUAGCGUGCAGGAUGACGGCCCUAUGGGUUGUAAACUGCUUUUGUAUGGGGAUAAAGUUAGGGACGUGUCCCUAUUUGCAGGUACCAUACGAAUAAGGACCGGCUAAUUCCGUGCCAGCAGCCGCGGUAAUACGGAAGGUCCAGGCGUUAUCCGGAUUUAUCGGGUUUAAAGGGAGCGUAGGCUGGAGAUUAAGUGUGUUGUGAAAUGUAGACGCUCAACGUCUGAAUUGCAGCGCAUACUGGUUUCCUUGAGUACGCACAACGUUGGCGGAAUUCGUCGUGUAGCGGUGAAAUGCUUAGAUAUGACGAAGAACUCCGAUUGCGAAGGCAGCUGACGGGAGCGCAACUGACGCUUAAGCUCGAAGGUGCGGGUAUCAAACAGGAUUAGAUACCCUGGUAGUCCGCACAGUAAACGAUGGAUGCCCGCUGUUGGUACCUGGUAUCAGCGGCUAAGCGAAAGCAUUAAGCAUCCCACCUGGGGAGUACGCCGGCAACGGUG